This 577-nucleotide ribosomal RNA is filed under the name uncultured bacterium. RNAcentral describes it as "bacterial SSU rRNA". It matches the Rfam family "Bacterial small subunit ribosomal RNA", at positions 338 to 916 of the family's 1533-position model. The record is from RNAcentral.
CCUACGGGAGGCAGCAGUAAGGAAUAUUGGGCAAUGGAGGCAACUCUGACCCAGCCAUGCCGCGUGAAGGAUGAAGGCCCUAUGGGUUGUAAACUUCUUUUGUACGGGAAUAAACCUGGUUACGUGUAACCAGUUGAAUGUACCGUAAGAAUAAGCACCGGCUAACUCCGUGCCAGCAGCCGCGGUAAUACGGAGGGUGCAAGCGUUAUCCGGAUUUAUUGGGUUUAAAGGGAGCGUAGGCGGGAUUGUAAGUCAGUGGUGAAAGCCCGUAGCUCAACUACGGAACUGCCAUUGAUACUGCAGACCUAGAGUACACUUGAAGUGGGCGGAAUGUGUCAUGUAGCGGUGAAAUGCUUAGAUAUGACACAGAACACCAAUUGCGAAGGCAGCUCACUAAAUUGUAACUGACGCUGAGGCUCGAUAGCGUGGGGAUCAAACAGGAUUAGAUACCCUGGUAGUCCACGCCGUAAACGAUGAUUACUCGAUGUUGGCGAUACACUGUCAGCGUCUGAGCGAAAGCAUUAAGUAAUCCACCUGGGGAGUACGGUCGCAGACUGAAACUCAAAGGAAUUGACGG